RNAcentral lists this long non-coding RNA (1077 nucleotides) under Felis catus (domestic cat). RNAcentral describes it as "lncRNA (ENSFCAG00000053309.1)". The record is from RNAcentral. Lineage: Eukaryota; Metazoa; Chordata; Mammalia; Carnivora; Felidae.
CCACCUGACAGAACGCCUUGAUAAUCUUCAACCUGUGCACUUACACCGACCAAGAAAUAUACAUUUCUUGAAUCAGGCUGGCUUUUGGGGAGGACCCACUUUUCAUCGCAGUGAUAACCUGUGAUCCCAAGGUACCGGAGCCAGAGGGUCAGAGAACAUCCACCAGUUUGGACGAGGGAGCUGAGAAGUGACUCAACCCAGUCCGGGUUGAAUCUAGAAGACUCAGCCCCGGGGGCAGUCCCGAAACGUUCAGCCUCUCUCCUCAGACUCACAGGUGCAGCUCUCAUCAUUGUCUUCUGGAUUUUAGCAACUGGGCCCAUCUCAAAGAAGCCACAACCUGUCCGGUUUGCAAACCCAAACGUGUGUCCUGUUUACUCCUGUCACUUGACGGUUGCUUCUUCUCACUGGUGGUUCUCCCCAGGCAAGGGACUUGCUGGUUACUUCCGUCCCCUCCCCUGCACACCGGAGCCCUGAGAAGCUCUUUGCCGCAUCCCGGCUGCCGGGGCAGCUCUGCGUGUCCCCGCUUUCCGUAUGCUCUGGAGACAUCCCUGCUCCUUCCAGAGCCGUGUGCACGUGCGUGUGCUUGCUCCUGCCUGCUCUCCUCGUCCUCGCCUUGCCCAUCCGAAGGGCCGGGAGGCCAUCGGAACCACGUGCUGAUGACAUUUAAAGGACAUCUUGAAAGUAACACAACAACAAGGGGAUGAAAAUAAGGCACCAAAGAAAAGGACCCCGAUCCUGAAAGACUAAGGCUUCAAGUGACACAGACCCCACGAGCAGGUACAGCCUCCUGUCCGUGCAAGGGGCGCGAGGAGGGCUGUGGGUCACAUUGUGUCCCCCCCACCCCCCAGAAGCUGGAAAGGACAAGGAUGCGCCCUUUAGGGGCCUCAGAGAGAGAGAGAGCGGGGCCCUGCAGACACAGUGACUGUGGGCUUCUGGCCUUCUGCACGGUGCCAGAGGACGUGUCUGUGGUUUUAAGCCCGCCGGUCGGUGCAAUUUUGUUACAGCGGCCAUAGGAAACUGAUACAAUGAGGGAACAACGGAAAUAAACAUCCUCUCUAGAGAUAGCUGUGAAGUGUG